This 449-nucleotide ribosomal RNA is filed under the name uncultured bacterium. RNAcentral's name for it is "partial 16S ribosomal RNA". It matches the Rfam family "Bacterial small subunit ribosomal RNA", at positions 354 to 796 of the family's 1533-position model. The record is from RNAcentral.
GUCGAGAAUCUUUCACAAUGGGGGCAACCCUGAUGGAGCGACGCCGCGUGGAGGAUAAGGUCUUCGGAUUGUAAACUCCUGUCAUGCGUGAACAAGGUUGCUUGGUUAAUACCUGGGCAAAUUGAUGGUAACGCAAGAGGAAGAGACGGCUAACUCUGUGCCAGCAGCCGCGGUAAUACAGAGGUCUCAAGCGUUGUUCGGAAUCACUGGGCGUAAAGGGUGCGUAGGUGGCGUGGUAAGUCAGAUGUGAAAGCCCGGGGCUCAACCUCGGAACUGCAUCCGAUAUUGCCAUGCUAGAGGACUGGAGAGGUGACUAGAAUUCUCGGUGUAGCAGUGAAAUGCGUAGAUAUCGAGAGGAAUACCAAAGGCGUAGGCAGGUCACUGGACAGUUACUGACACUGAGGCACGAAGGCCAGGGGAGCGAACGGGAUUAGAUACCCUUGUAGUCC